RNAcentral lists this ribosomal RNA (2984 nucleotides) under Salmonella enterica subsp. salamae. RNAcentral describes it as "23S ribosomal RNA". It matches the Rfam family "Bacterial large subunit ribosomal RNA". The record is from RNAcentral. Lineage: Bacteria; Pseudomonadati; Pseudomonadota; Gammaproteobacteria; Enterobacterales; Enterobacteriaceae.
UUAAGCGACCAAGCGUACACGGUGGAUGCCCUGGCAGUCAGAGGCGAUGAAGGACGUGCUAAUCUGCGAUAAGCGCCGGUAAGGUGAUAUGAACCGUUAUAACCGGCGAUUUCCGAAUGGGGAAACCCAGUGUGACUCGUCACACUAUCAUUACGUGAAUACAUAGCGUAAUGAAGCGAACCGGGGGAACUGAAACAUCUAAGUACCCCGAGGAAAAGAAAUCAACCGAGAUUCCCCCAGUAGCGGCGAGCGAACGGGGAGGAGCCCAGAGCCUGAAUCAGCAUGUGUGUUAGUGGAAGCGUCUGGAAAGGCGCGCGAUACAGGGUGACAGCCCCGUACACAAAAGCGCAUAUGCUGUGAGCUCGAUGAGUAGGGCGGGACACGUGGUAUCCUGUCUGAAUAUGGGGGGACCAUCCUCCAAGGCUAAAUACUCCUGACUGACCGAUAGUGAACCAGUACCGUGAGGGAAAGGCGAAAAGAACCCCGGCGAGGGGAGUGAAACAGAACCUGAAACCGUGUACGUACAAGCAGUGGGAGCACAGGUUUACCUGUGUGACUGCGUACCUUUUGUAUAAUGGGUCAGCGACUUAUAUUCUGUAGCAAGGUUAACCGCAUAGGGAGCCGAAGGGAAACCGAGUCUUAACCGGGCGUUAAGUUGCAGGGUAUAGACCCGAAACCCGGUGAUCUAGCCAUGGGCAGGUUGAAGGUUGGGUAACACUAACUGGAGGACCGAACCGACUAAUGUUGAAAAAUUAGCGGAUGACCUGUGGCUGGGGGUGAAAGGCCAAUCAAACCGGGAGAUAGCUGGUUCUCCCCGAAAGCUAUUUAGGUAGCGCCUCGUGAACUCAUCUCCGGGGGUAGAGCACUGUUUCGGCUAGGGGGCCAUCCCGGCUUACCAACCCGAUGCAAACUGCGAAUACCGGAGAAUGUUAUCACGGGAGACACACGGCGGGUGCUAACGUCCGUCGUGAAGAGGGAAACAACCCAGACCGCCAGCUAAGGUCCCAAAGUCAUGGUUAAGUGGGAAACGAUGUGGGAAGGCCCAGACAGCCAGGAUGUUGGCUUAGAAGCAGCCAUCAUUUAAAGAAAGCGUAAUAGCUCACUGGUCGAGUCGGCCUGCGCGGAAGAUGUAACGGGGCUAAACCAUGCACCGAAGCUGCGGCAGCGAACGUAUCACUUAAAACGAUUCAGAAACUUACGACUGACGGAGCGAAGCGACGUCAAAGCGUAUACAAAGUCGAGUCGGUUUAAGGAUACGUUCGUUGGGUAGGGGAGCGUUCUGUAAGCCGUUGAAGGUGUGUCGUGAGGCAUGCUGGAGGUAUCAGAAGUGCGAAUGCUGACAUAAGUAACGAUAAAGCGGGUGAAAAGCCCGCUCGCCGGAAGACCAAGGGUUCCUGUCCAACGUUAAUCGGGGCAGGGUGAGUCGACCCCUAAGGCGAGGCCGAAAGGCGUAGUCGAUGGGAAACGGGUUAAUAUUCCCGUACUUGGUGUUACUGCGAAGGGGGGACGGAGAAGGCUAUGUUGGCCGGGCGACGGUUGUCCCGGUUUAAGCGUGUAGGCUGACUUUCCAGGCAAAUCCGGAGAGUCAAGGCUGAGGCGUGACGACGAGGCACUACGGUGCUGAAGCAACAAAUGCCCUGCUUCCAGGAAAAGCCUCUAAGCAUCAGGUAACAUCAAAUCGUACCCCAAACCGACACAGGUGGUCAGGUAGAGAAUACCAAGGCGCUUGAGAGAACUCGGGUGAAGGAACUAGGCAAAAUGGUGCCGUAACUUCGGGAGAAGGCACGCUGACAUGUAGGUGAAGUGGUUUACCCAUGGAGCUGAAGUCAGUCGAAGAUACCAGCUGGCUGCAACUGUUUAUUAAAAACACAGCACUGUGCAAACACGAAAGUGGACGUAUACGGUGUGACGCCUGCCCGGUGCCGGAAGGUUAAUUGAUGGGGUCAGCGCAAGCGAAGCUCCUGAUCGAAGCCCCGGUAAACGGCGGCCGUAACUAUAACGGUCCUAAGGUAGCGAAAUUCCUUGUCGGGUAAGUUCCGACCUGCACGAAUGGCGUAAUGAUGGCCAGGCUGUCUCCACCCGAGACUCAGUGAAAUUGAACUCGCUGUGAAGAUGCAGUGUACCCGCGGCAAGACGGAAAGACCCCGUGAACCUUUACUAUAGCUUGACACUGAACAUUGAGCCUUGAUGUGUAGGAUAGGUGGGAGGCUUUGAAGCGUGGACGCCAGUCUGCGUGGAGCCAACCUUGAAAUACCACCCUUUAAUGUUUGAUGUUCUAACGUGGACCCGUGAUCCGGGUUGCGGACAGUGUCUGGUGGGUAGUUUGACUGGGGCGGUCUCCUCCUAAAGAGUAACGGAGGAGCACGAAGGUUGGCUAAUCCUGGUCGGACAUCAGGAGGUUAGUGCAAUGGCAUAAGCCAGCUUGACUGCGAGCGUGACGGCGCGAGCAGGUGCGAAAGCAGGUCAUAGUGAUCCGGUGGUUCUGAAUGGAAGGGCCAUCGCUCAACGGAUAAAAGGUACUCCGGGGAUAACAGGCUGAUACCGCCCAAGAGUUCAUAUCGACGGCGGUGUUUGGCACCUCGAUGUCGGCUCAUCACAUCCUGGGGCUGAAGUAGGUCCCAAGGGUAUGGCUGUUCGCCAUUUAAAGUGGUACGCGAGCUGGGUUUAGAACGUCGUGAGACAGUUCGGUCCCUAUCUGCCGUGGGCGCUGGAGAAUUGAGGGGGGCUGCUCCUAGUACGAGAGGACCGGAGUGGACGCAUCACUGGUGUUCGGGUUGUCAUGCCAAUGGCACUGCCCGGUAGCUAAAUGCGGAAGAGAUAAGUGCUGAAAGCAUCUAAGCACGAAACUUGCCCCGAGAUGAGUUCUCCCUGAGACUUAAAGUCUCCUGAAGGAACGUUAAAGACGAUGACGUUGAUAGGCCGGGUGUGUAAGCGCAGCGAUGCGUUGAGCUAACCGGUACUAAUGAACCGUGAGGCUUAACCUU